AAAUUAUUGGGCGUAAAGAGCUCGUAGGCGGCGUGUCGCGUCUGCUGUGAAAGACCGUGGCUUAACUCCGGUUCUGCAGUGGAUACGGGCAUGCUAGAGGUAGGUAGGGGAGACUGGAAUUCCUGGUGUAGCGGUGAAAUGCGCAGAUAUCAGGAGGAACACCGGUGGCGAAGGCGGGUCUCUGGGCCUUACCUGACGCUGAGGAGCGAAAGCAUGGGGAGCGAACAGGAUUAGAUACCCUGGUAGUCCAUGCCGUAAACGUUGGGCGCUAGGUGUGGGGACUUUCCACGGUUUCCGCGCCGUAGCUAACGCAUUAAGCGCUCCGCCUGGGGAGUACGGCCGCAAGGCUAAAACUCAAAGGAAUUGACGGGGGUCCGCACAAGCGGCGGAGCAUGUUGCUUAAUUCGACGCAACGCGAAGAACCUUAUCAAGGUUUGACAUCACCCGUGGACCUGUAGAGAUACAGGGUCAUUUAGUUGGUGGGUGACAGGUGGUGCAUGGCUGUCGUCAGCUCGUGUCGUGAGAUGUUGGGUUAAGUCCCGCAACGAGCGCAACCCUUGUUCCAUGUUGCCAGCACGUAAUGGUGGGGACUCAUGGGAGACUGCCGGGGUCAACUCGGAGGAAGGUGGGGACGACGUCAAGUCAUCAUGCCCCUUAUGUCUUGGGCUGCAAACAUGCUACAAUGGCCGG
Molecule: ribosomal RNA, 690 nt
Filed under: Nocardiopsis sp. BAB-5456
Lineage: Bacteria; Bacillati; Actinomycetota; Actinomycetes; Streptosporangiales; Nocardiopsidaceae
Description: bacterial SSU rRNA
Rfam family: Bacterial small subunit ribosomal RNA
Source: RNAcentral